GACGAACGCUGGCGGCGUGCUUAACACAUGCAAGUCGAACGGAAAGGCCCUGCUUUUGUGGGGUGCUCGAGUGGCGAACGGGUGAGUAACACGUGAGUAACCUGCCCUUGACUUUGGGAUAACUUCAGGAAACUGGGGCUAAUACCGGAUAGGAGCUCCUGCUGCAUGGUGGGGGUUGGAAAGUUUCGGCGGUUGGGGAUGGACUCGCGGCUUAUCCGCUUGUUGGUGGGGUAGUGGCUUACCAAGGCUUUGACGGGUAGCCGGCCUGGGAGGGUGACCGGCCACAUUGGGCCUAAGAUACGCCCCAGACUCCUACGGGAGGCAGCAGUGGGGAAUAUUGCACAAUGGGCGGAAGCCUGAUGCAGCAACGCCGCGUGCGGGAUGACGGCCUUCGGGUUGUAAACCGCUUUCGCCUGUGACGAAGCGUGAGUGACGGUAAUGGGUAAAGAAGCACCGGCUAACUACGUG
This 468-nucleotide ribosomal RNA is filed under the name uncultured bacterium. RNAcentral's name for it is "partial 16S ribosomal RNA". It matches the Rfam family "Bacterial small subunit ribosomal RNA", at positions 28 to 507 of the family's 1533-position model. The record is from RNAcentral.